RNAcentral lists this small RNA (780 nucleotides) under Pan troglodytes (chimpanzee). Its description in RNAcentral is "processed transcript". The record is from RNAcentral. Lineage: Eukaryota; Metazoa; Chordata; Mammalia; Primates; Hominidae.
GACCGGCGACCCGGCCCGUGGAGCCGGCGCGGGCGGGCUGCUGAGGUGGCUGUCGCCGGCUCCGAGCUGCGGCUUCCCGGGCCGAGCCCCCGAUGGAGGCCGAGGCCGCGGACGCUCCCCCGGGCGGGGUUGAGUCGGCGCUCAGCUGCUUCUCUUUCAACCAGGACUGCACAUCCCUAGCAAUUGGAACUAAAGCCGGGUAUAAGCUGUUUUCUCUGAGUUCUGUGGAGCAGCUGGAUCAAGUCCACGGAAGCAAUGAAAUCCCGGACGUCUACAUCGUGGAGCGCCUCUUCUCCAGCAGCCUGGUGGUGGUAGUCAGUCACACAAAACCACGGCAGAUGAACGUGUAUCACUUCAAGAAAGGCACAGAGAUCUGUAAUUACAGCUACUCCAGCAACAUCUUGUCCAUAAGGCUGAACCGGCAAAGGCUGCUGGUUUGCCUAGAAGAGUCCAUUUAUAUUCACAACAUUAAAGACAUGAAGCUGUUGAAGACCCUCCUGGAUAUUCCUGCAAACCCAACAGGUCUAUGUGCUCUCUCUAUCAACCAUUCCAAUUCUUACUUGGCCUAUCCUGGAAGCCUGACUUCAGGGGAGAUUGUGCUUUAUGAUGGAAACUCCCUGAAAACAGUCUGCACUAUUGCUGCCCAUGAGGGAACACUAGCUGCCAUCACCUUCAAUGCCUCAGGCUCCAAACUAGCAAGUGCAUCUGAAAAAGUAUGUGACAAUCAGCUCUCUAGUGUUCAGUAUGGAUUCACAAUUCCUCUGCGCCUCCAGUAACACC